AUUGAACGCCGGCGGCAUGCCUUACACAUGCAAGUCGAACGGCAGCACGGGAGCAAUCCUGGUGGCGAGUGGCGAACGGGUGAGUAAAGUAUCGGAACGUGCCCAGUCGUGGGGGAUAACGUAGCGAAAGUUACGCUAAUACCGCAUACGAUCUAUGGAUGAAAGCGGGGGAUCGCAAGACCCCGCGCGAUUGGGGCGGCCGAUAUCAGAUUAGGUAGUUGGUGGGGUGAAGGCUCACCAAGCCGACGACCUGUAGCUGGUCUGAGAGGACGACCAGCCACACUGGGACUGAGAUACGGCCCAGACUCCUACGGGAGGCAGCAGUGGGGAAUUUUGGACAAUGGGCGAAAGCCUGAUCCAGCCAUGCCGCGUGCAGGAUGAAGGCCUUCGGGUUGUAAACUGCUUUUGUACGGAACGAAAAGGUUUGGCCUAAUAAGCUGAGCUCAUGACGGUACCGUAAGAAUAAGCACCGGCUAACUACGUGCCAGCCGCCGCCGUAA
RNAcentral lists this ribosomal RNA (500 nucleotides) under uncultured bacterium. RNAcentral describes it as "partial 16S ribosomal RNA". It matches the Rfam family "Bacterial small subunit ribosomal RNA", at positions 30 to 523 of the family's 1533-position model. The record is from RNAcentral.